Microcebus murinus (gray mouse lemur) is the source of this 172-nucleotide unclassified non-coding RNA. NCBI's taxonomy places the organism in Eukaryota, Metazoa, Chordata, Mammalia, Primates, Cheirogaleidae. The record is from Ensembl.
AGGAACUGACCCACAGACACAGUCCCCUGAUGUCCGACCAGAAGACAACGAAAUCCGUGCUGGGCUGCAGCUGGUGAGACCUGUGGCUAGCUUCUGUCUUUGCCAUCUGCCGUGGCUUUGAUCCACUCGCAUUUAUUUCUGCAAGAAGUGUGACUUUCUGUCUCUGAUCUGC